AAAGUUAUAUUUGAAUUAAAUAUUUUCCUUAGAAAAAUCGUCGGGGCUGAGCCCCAUCUGCAUUUUUUCUAGCGGUACGGCGCUGUUGAAUGAAAUUUUUCGACUGCAUUUAGCAGUGUCCUUCGAUUUUGGACAAUUAGUCAUCGAAAAUGAAUAUGGCAGCACGGAAUUAGCCGGAACAUACUCAUUUGGUCGUAGAUCCAGGUUCUCAUAUGGAACGCCAAUUGUUUAUACGCGUUUUGCCAAUUUCUUGGCAUGGAUUCAAAGCAAAAUAACCAAUCAAUGCACGUAUGCACCUAAAGAAGCCAGCCAUGGCGAGAACUUCAAACAAACUUGUGUCUUCAUCCGAGAAUAAUAGUAAAAAUUCAUGCGGAUAAAAGUGAUGUACCUAAAUGUCCAAAUUGGAAAUCCAUUUCCUUCAUAUCAAAGGGGAGAAAAUAAAUCAAAGAAAUGUUGAACUGGCAAUUGAAUAAUAUAUAUCCAUAGGCCAUGUAUGGCUUAAUUCACUGGAAAGUGAGUUACCAUCAGUACUGUCCACCUUACAACACUGGUCACAUCGAUUCUUGGAGAAUAAAUUCUGCACUAAUC
Molecule: long non-coding RNA, 588 nt
Organism: Sitodiplosis mosellana (orange wheat blossom midge)
Lineage: Eukaryota; Metazoa; Arthropoda; Insecta; Diptera; Cecidomyiidae
Exons: 3
Source: RefSeq, a predicted model, not a curated record